RNAcentral lists this ribosomal RNA (301 nucleotides) under uncultured bacterium. RNAcentral describes it as "partial 16S ribosomal RNA". It matches the Rfam family "Bacterial small subunit ribosomal RNA", at positions 509 to 808 of the family's 1533-position model. The record is from RNAcentral.
CAGUAGCGCGGUAAUACAGAGGGUGCGAGCGUUAAUCGGAUUUACUGGGCGUAAAGCGUGCGUAGGCGGCUAAUUGAGUCGGAUGUGAAAUCCCCGAGCUUAACUUGGGAAUUGCAUUCGAUACUGGUUAGCUAGAGUGUGGGAGAGGAUGGUAGAAUUCCAGGUGUAGCGGUGAAAUGCGUAGAGAUCUGGAGGAAUACCGAUGGCGAAGGCAGCCAUCUGGCCUAAUACUGACGCUGAGGUACGAAAGCAUGGGGAGCAAACAGGAUUAGAUACCCCUGUAGUCCCUGUCUCUUAUACA